GGUCUGUUGGUGAAGCGGUCUAACACAUUGCCCUCUCAAGGCAACAUACACGGGUUCAAAUCCCGUACAGACUACCA
RNAcentral lists this transfer RNA (77 nucleotides) under Bacilli bacterium. Its description in RNAcentral is "tRNA-Glu". It matches the Rfam family "tRNA". Rfam says of the family: Transfer RNA (tRNA) molecules are approximately 80 nucleotides in length. Their secondary structure includes four short double-helical elements and three loops (D, anti-codon, and T loops). Lineage: Bacteria; Bacillati; Bacillota; Bacilli. The record is from RNAcentral.